This 492-nucleotide ribosomal RNA is filed under the name uncultured bacterium. RNAcentral's name for it is "partial 16S ribosomal RNA". It matches the Rfam family "Bacterial small subunit ribosomal RNA", at positions 30 to 507 of the family's 1533-position model. The record is from RNAcentral.
AUUGAACGCUGGCGGCAUGCUUUACACAUGCAAGUCGAACGGUAACAGGCCUUCGGGUGCUGACGAGUGGCGAACGGGUGAGUAAUGCAUCGGAACGUGCCCAGAGGUGGGGGAUAACGCAGCGAAAGCUGUGCUAAUACCGCAUGUGAUCUGAGGAUGAAAGCGGGGGACCAGGCAGCAAUGUUUGGCCUCGCGCCUUUGGAGCGGCCGAUGUCAGAUUAUGUAGUUGGUGGGGUAAAGGCCUACCAAGCCGACGAUCUGUAGCUGGUCUGAGAGGACGACCAGCCACACUGGGACUGAGACACGGCCCAGACUCCUACGGGAGGCAGCAGUGGGGAAUUUUGGACAAUGGGCGCAAGCCUGAUCCAGCAAUGCCGCGUGCGGGAAGAAGGCCUUCGGGUUGUAAACCGCUUUUGUACGGAACGAAAAGGCUCUGGCUAAUACCUGGGGCUGAUGACGGUACCGUAAGAAUAAGCACCGGCUAACUACGUG